RNAcentral lists this microRNA (23 nucleotides) under Pristionchus pacificus. RNAcentral describes it as "ppc-miR-8229a-3p". Lineage: Eukaryota; Metazoa; Nematoda; Chromadorea; Rhabditida; Neodiplogasteridae. The record is from miRBase by way of RNAcentral.
GAUCGCAUCGUGAGAGGCUAAGG